UUUCUUUCUCUUGAUCAAGCUUGUCGACCCUAAAAAUGGCAUGAUCUAACCAUAAAACAUCAUAUAUCAUGUAGAUCUAUAGUUCUCAUGUUCAGGAUCAUAAACUUCAUGGUUCAAAAUAACCAAAAAUCAAAUACAAGAUUAAACACAUUCAAGAGUAAGAAAAAUAAGAUUUCCUACACCUUAAAAACCUAGCUUCACUUUUCUUGCUUUUGAUCUAUCUUUUGAAACAUAAAAUAGAUAGAUCCACACAUAAAACACUCUAAAUCAUGUAGAUCUAGAGUUUUGAAGAUCAAAACUCAUUAUUUUGACAAAAAUCAAACACAUAAACUAAUUAGAGUUUUGUGUUUAAGAAUUCUUAUACCUUGCUUUGAUUUUCUUUCUUCUUCAAAGAUAUGAGAUGGAUCUUGGGGUGUUGUUCUUGGCUUGCUACAUGAUUAUCAUAGCUCAUCUUCUCUCUCUCUUGUCUCUCUCUCUCUCUCUAAACUUAUCCAAUUUGGCUAAAAUGAAUAUAAGUAAAUUUUGAUUUUGCUUAUGUAGAAGUUACUUUCAAUUUUUUAUAAGUUAGUCACCCAACUUAAAUCUUCUCUAGUCUUCCCCCUAGUCUUUAAAAGCUUGCAAAUCACCCCUUGG
This 633-nucleotide long non-coding RNA is filed under the name Panax ginseng (ginseng). Its description in RNAcentral is "long non-coding RNA (PGIN_LNC014391)". Lineage: Eukaryota; Viridiplantae; Streptophyta; Magnoliopsida; Apiales; Araliaceae. The record is from RNAcentral.